CAUUACCGAGUGCGGGCCCUCGUGGCCCAACCUCCCACCCUUGUCUCUAUACACCUGUUGCUUUGGCGGGCCCACCGGGGCCACCUGGUCGCCGGGGGACAUCUGUCCCCGGGCCCGCGCCCGCCGAAGCGCUCUGUGAACCCUGAUGAAGAUGGGCUGUCUGAGUACUAUGAAAAUUGUCAAAACUUUCAACAAUGGAUCUCUUGGUUCCGGCAUCGAUGAAGAACGCAGCGAAAUGCGAUAAGUAAUGUGAAUUGCAGAAUUCCGUGAAUCAUCGAAUCUUUGAACGCACAUUGCGCCCCCUGGCAUUCCGGGGGGCAUGCCUGUCCGAGCGUCAUUUCUGCCCUCAAGCACGGCUUGUGUUUGGGUGCGGUCCCCCCGGGGACCUGCCCGAAAGGCAGCGGCGACGUCCGUCUGGUCCUCGAGCGUAUGGGGCUUUGUCACUCGCUCGGGAAGGACUGGCGGGGGUUGGUCACCACCAAAAUUUUACCACGGUUGACCUCGGAUCAGGGUAGGAGUUACCCGCUGAACUUAAGCAUAUCAAUAAGCGGAGGAAAAGAAACCAACCGGGAUUGCCUCAGUAACGGCGAGUGAAGCGGCAAGAGCUCAAAUUUGAAAUCUGGCCCCCUCGGGGGUCCGAGUUGUAAUUUGCAGAGGAUGCUUUCGGGGUGCGGUCCCCCAUCUAAGUG
RNAcentral lists this ribosomal RNA (689 nucleotides) under fungal sp. Its description in RNAcentral is "eukaryotic LSU rRNA". The stretch from base 184 to 337 matches the Rfam family "5.8S ribosomal RNA". Lineage: Eukaryota; Fungi. The record is from RNAcentral.